This 1394-nucleotide long non-coding RNA is filed under the name Homo sapiens (human). RNAcentral describes it as "HSALNT0408649". Lineage: Eukaryota; Metazoa; Chordata; Mammalia; Primates; Hominidae. The record is from RNAcentral.
AUUCGUUUGGCCGCGCUUCCGCCGCGGACCCGAUCGAGCCGCGGUUCUUCUGUCUUUAGUGGGGUGUCGAGGGGAGGGCGGUAGGAAUGUCCGGCGGAGCCCUGGGCCGUGGGAAUCCAGAGGCUGGCUGGGUUCGCUCCGGGACUCGUUCCCCGGGCCCCUCCGCCCCUCGCGAGGCGCUAAGGUGGCAGCCCAGUCGGGCAUCACCCUUCGAAGUCCCCUCUUCUGACACACCCCUGUGAGGGGCCUGUGGCCCUAGUUCCCGUACCUUCGAUGCCCCCUUGUCCCUACCCCUUCCCACCAAAAGAACCCAAGUCGCUUAACUCUGGCACCUGAUCCUAAAUGGUUUAAUGGAGCUACUUGGGCUAGAUCGGGGGCGGAAUACGGGUUGGUUUUGUUUUGCUUUUUGCUUCGGGUGUGGAGAGAGAGCGAGCUGAUUCUCUACCAGUAAGACCUAGCCCUGGAAAAGAAAGAAAAAUUGUUUUGCUUUACAGCCCACUGGUCCCGUCUCCGAGAAAACGUGGUCUGUAUCUCCAGGUUCUAGGAGUCCUAAAGAACUGGACUACUAGGCUAGGCCGGGCGCUCGACCAAUUUGUUCGCCACUCUCGGGGCGGGGGAAGAGAUAGGACCGAGCGAAGUGGAGGGAAAUCGAAAUUUGGGCAAAAGGAGUGGAGGGGGACCUACCCCGCCUCCCCCGCGCAUCCACUGCCUUCCUGGGCGGGUGCAACCACGCGAAAUGGUUGGGAAUUUAGGUUACUUCGCAUCCUGCCUUCCCAUCCCUCCCCCAAGAUGUUUGAAGUGCGAAAAGACCCUUUCUGCUCCUCCGACCCCUGUUAACUAAAAUCUUUGUCACCCUUUUUUUUUGUUUGUUUCGAAUCCAGUGUAUUGGACCUUUGACCGCCAAGAGCUCUUUACUCGGGGGAGAAAAACUCGAGGAGGGCCUAUCCCCUCCAAAGCGCCGCUUUUUCCUUGGACAGGAAGAAGUGACCUAUUGCAGUGUCUCCAUUGCUGUUAUAGAAGUUCGUAGAUUCAUAAAAUAGUGUUUGCUUAAGAAGUCUUCGUUUCUGUUCCAUUUUUGAAAUUUUGGUUAAAAUAUUUCUUAAAUAUUAAAUUACAUUUCAAUUAGAAGAAAAGAAAUAAAACGUAUUAAUAACAAAACAAAUUUUCCAACUGAGAAAUAGGGUGAGCCCCGUGUAAAUCAUGAAGCUUUCACCCCGAUAUCACUUCUGAAACAUUCCUAAUGUAAUAUAACGAUUAUUUUCAGUCCUUAAAUUAUAUUCCUUCCAUAUCUCUUGUUAGUUUCUCUCCCAUCCUCUGUGCUUAUUGUUUUUUCUGCAACUUUACAAAAAGAGUUAUAGUAUAUUUAAUCAACUGGACAAUAAAAGUUAAACAGA